Molecule: ribosomal RNA, 490 nt
Filed under: uncultured bacterium
Lineage: Bacteria
Description: partial 16S ribosomal RNA
Rfam family: Bacterial small subunit ribosomal RNA
Source: RNAcentral
AUUGAACGCUGGCGGCAGGCCUAACACAUGCAAGUCGAACGGUAACAGGAAGCAGCUUGCUGCUUCGCUGACGAGUGGCGGACGGGUGAGUAAUGUCUGGGAAGCUGCCUGAUGGAGGGGGAUAACUACUGGAAACGGUAGCUAAUACCGCAUAAUGUCGCAAGACCAAAGAGGGGGACCUUCGGGCCUCUUGCCAUCGGAUGUGCCCAGAUGGGAUUAGCUUGUUGGUGGGGUAACGGCUCACCAAGGCGACGAUCCCUAGCUGGUCUGAGAGGAUGACCAGCCACACUGGGACUGAGACACGGUCCAGACUCCUACGGGAGGCAGCAGUGGGGAAUAUUGCACAAUGGGCGCAAGCCUGAUGCAGCCAUGCCGCGUGUAUGAAGAAGGCCUUCGGGUUGUAAAGUACUUUCAGCGGGGAUGAAGGGAGUAAAGUUAAUACCUUUGCUCAUUGACGUUACCCGCAGAAGAAGCACCGGCUAACUCCGUG